UGGCGCGAGUGACGGGGCUCGAACCCGCGACCUCCGGCGUGACAGGCCGGCGCUCUAACCAACUGAGCUACACCCGC
This 77-nucleotide transfer RNA is filed under the name Acidiphilium sp. PM. Its description in RNAcentral is "tRNA-Asp". Lineage: Bacteria; Pseudomonadati; Pseudomonadota; Alphaproteobacteria; Acetobacterales; Acidocellaceae. The record is from RNAcentral.